CGUGUUUCCACGCAUGACCGUAGCUAGCCAACAUCGCCACGGCAUCACCUACAAGUGUGAUCGAGGAUUUAUAUUUAAGAAGCCGUUUUAGCCUAUCUUCAUACAGUACUGUCUUAGGGGUAACAACAUGAAUUGGUGCAUGGGGCAGAAAUAAUGCAGAGCGACUUGAGUUUCGCCAUCAGCUGGACCCUUUUCUCAGCCGAGGGAAGGAGAGCGGAGGGACGAUGAGUCAGGUGAGAGGCAGCCUCAGCGCUGCUCCCUCCCUCCCCUCAUGGCCUGCAUCUGAUGGCUACUUACAAAACCUGGUGGGUUUGUUGUUCAGCAGUGUCGUGGAAACCCCCCUACCAUAUCAGGCUCAGAAGGUUGAGGCAGAACACCAGUCCCACUUCAGAUGGAGGACAGGAUAGAUGGUUUGUCAUGGAGUCCCCUGACUAAAAGACAGUUUGCUACAAAUGUUUAAACUGCGAGAGACCUUGCACUCAGCAUUCAAAUUAUACAAGACAUGUAUUCUUCAAAACAUGUCUGGGAACUGUUUUAUAUGGGAUACCAUACGAAGGGUUGGGUUACAGUCCGUCUAUCGACAUGUCUGUAGACUAUUGUCGUAGCGACAUCAAACUUUUCGUUGUAGUUAUGAAGCAGCCCAGUGCUCUAAAUAGCCUACUUUCUCUAUUUUAAACCCUUCCGUUUUACUGAAUUCAUUUUUAAUGUCAACCUAGCAAGCCAGGCAACUAAAAGCAAUUUUCUACACAAUGUUUUUGUUUGUUGCUAGCUAGUUAACAAGUUCAAAUAAAAAGUAUAACUGACAAACACAUUCUGAUUGGCUGGGCCUGGCUCCCAAGUGGGUGGGCCUAUGCCCUCCAAAGCCCACCCAUGGCUGCGCCCUGCCCAGUCAUGUGAAAUCCAUAGAUUAUGGUCUAAUGAAUUUAUUUAAUUGACUGAUUUCCUUAAAUGAACUGUAACUAGGGCUAUCACCAACUAAAAAAAAUAUGCGCAAGGGAUGAGAAGCAGUGCUUGACUUAGGCAGUAGCUCACCAGAGCCGAGUACUAGCACCUCAAAUGUUCUACUGCUUGAGCUCCUGUUCCUCUUAUAGAAUAUUAGCUCAAAAGUAUUGUGCACUUAAAUAUAAACAGUCCAAGUCAAGCA
Molecule: long non-coding RNA, 1144 nt
Organism: Salmo salar (Atlantic salmon)
Lineage: Eukaryota; Metazoa; Chordata; Actinopteri; Salmoniformes; Salmonidae
Source: RefSeq, a predicted model, not a curated record